This 1511-nucleotide long non-coding RNA is filed under the name Fukomys damarensis (Damara mole-rat). Its description in RNAcentral is "lncRNA (ENSFDAG00000022498.1)". The record is from RNAcentral. Lineage: Eukaryota; Metazoa; Chordata; Mammalia; Rodentia; Bathyergidae.
CUCAGCUUAGAAUGAGGAGUUUUAGAAAAGUUUAGAAAAGGGUUUGGCAGGGGACACUGGCCAGGAGGAUAGUGGCGAAGGCUGCGCCACAGUAUAAAUGUGUUUAAUGCCACUGAGCUGUCCAGUAGAAAUGGUUACGAUGUAAAUGAUACAGUUUACGUUAUCUCUUACAGGGCCGGGGAUGUGGCUCAGUGCAAGGACCCGAGUUCGAUCAUGUGUUAUUUGUUACUACCUGCCUUUUACUGCAUUUUUUAUAUAUUGCAAUACUGGGUGUUGAACCUAGGGAGCGCUAAGUUACAUGUCCACCUCUUUUUUAUUUUAUUUUGACACACAGUCUCCCGAAGUUGCCCAGACUGAUCUCCAACUUUUCAUUCCCCUGCCUCAGCCUCCCCAGAAGCUGGGGUUAUUACAGUCUUGCACCACCAUGCCCAGACUACAAUGUUUUCCUGGAUGCCCACGGGAAAGACAGCAAUCUCUUCUCUCUGGGACCCGAAGUCUUACCAUCUUCAGUAAAGAGGGCUGGAGUCUGCGUUUCCAUGAAGGAGCUGGACGGUCGGCUGGGGACCACCCAGGCUUCUGCGUCUUCUGUUCUGAUGUUAAAUCUGCCUCCGCCUCAGGAAGCCGUCUUUCCUGACCCUCUCAGGAUGCCACAACCUGGUUCACAGGAGAAGCCAGUCCUGGGACAGACCUGAGCGAGGGCAAAAAAUUCCCCCUGUGGAAAGAAAGAGCUCUUCCGGGUAGCCUUUGUUUACCCUGGGGCUGUGAUCGCUGGACUUUGGACACAGGUAUGCGGCCCGGUUCAUCUACCAACUGUGUGAUCAGAACCUCCUGUCCGCUCUGCAAAGCUGGGGUCAAGUUUCCUGAUUCUCCAGGGUGUUGGGAAGAGGGACGGAAGUGACAGAAGAGGCUCCUUCUGGACAGGGACACCUGCAUUUCUGCCUACCUGCCUCCUCUCCUGCUCAUUCCCCAGGUGGCAAAAUGCACAGAAGCCAGGCCUGGUGGUGCACACCUUAAUCCCAGCCCUGGAAAGGCUGAGGCAGGAGGAUCACUGUGAGUUCGAGGCCAGCCUGGACUGCAUAGCAAGACCCUGUCUCAAAAAAAAAAAAAAAAAAAAAAAAAAGCACACAGAAUGACCCUAUCUUAGUCAAAAUGUGCAGGGCCAUUGGCCUGGCUGAGUUCCUGCACUGGGCCCAGUGGACCAAACCACUACAGAGGGUCUGCUGCUGGGGUUCCACAUUAGCACCCAGAAACUAAGGUGCUUGUCGGGAUGCAGAAAGGUAAUGGCUAAGUCUUGAGCCAGGCAUGGGGGCACAUGCCUUGCAAUGCCUUCGCUUGGGAGGCUGAGGCAGAAAGAUCACAAGUUCAAGGCCAGCCUGGGCUACACAGAGACCUUAUCUCAACAAAUCAAAACAAGCUAUUAUAAUACAUUUUCAAAAAUCAACUAGCUAAAUCUCCUCCCAGGGUUUUUUUUUUAAUGACUCUAUUCCCUCUUUCCCACCUUCCAAGCCCAC